Long non-coding RNA from Seriola aureovittata, 3729 nucleotides. RefSeq lists it as uncharacterized. The transcript is spliced from 3 exons. NCBI's taxonomy places the organism in Eukaryota, Metazoa, Chordata, Actinopteri, Carangiformes, Carangidae. The record is from RefSeq and is a predicted model, not a curated record.
UCUUAUCAUGUUUGUGGACAACAGGAUAGUGUGCCAAAUAUGAAGAGCCUGUUCCACAACCCGUCUUAAACCUCAGAGUGCUCUUGAGCAAGGCAGUUAAUCCCCUGCAGCUGCAGGACGGUUGUUAUGUAACUGACACAUGAUCGUGACAGCUGAAUUUAUCUCCUGGCAUCAGCAGAGGACGGUGUCACCAUGAAAGCUUUUCAAUAAAUAUUUGAAAUUACACGUCGUGUCUGACAAACCUAAAGGCGAUAAUUAGUCAUGCAGUUUAUUUACCUGAUCAUAUGUUUUAAAUACAUCCACUAUUUGUGUUUCACCUAUAUAGAUUUUGCUUUUACUCACCCUGGUUUCAUCUGAAUGAUUUUGCUGCCUCUUUAGAGAAUCUGAAGCUGCGCUGAUGAAGAUCAUGUGAUACGACUGAAAGCUCCAGAGCUAUUACACGAGGAGAACUUCUUAACUGACCCACAAUUAGAAGUUAAUACUUUUCAUAGUUAAUGUUUUUAGAUGCAAAUUAACUGAAAACACGUUGAUGAGUUGAGGAAAUCUUCCUGCGCCUCCAUCCUUACAGAUGGAAGAGCAACACACUGUGGAAGAAACAAGGGAAAUAACUGAGUAAGCCUCCAGAAAAGUCCAUAUACUCAUUAUAUAAAGUAGCAGUGAAAGUGGGAAUAACAUCCACCCGGCAGAGUGUAUAUCCUGCACUUUUUAUAUCAUUGCCUGGAACUCGGCCACCGGUCCUCCAGUCUGAUGAAGGGAUUUUUAAGGAAAUGAGAAACAGUUGGUGAUAUCUCAGGUUGACAUGAGAAAAAACUCAUGUUAUUUUCAUUGGGUUAUGUAAGUGAGGUUUGGUCUCUGCUAAAUUACAGAUAAAUUAUUUGCUUUUUCAUUGUUAUUAAAAAAAAUAAAUCUUAACAACAUUUUUUGUUUUAUUUCCAGAAUUUCUGGAAUAUCGGUGGACUAAAACCGACUCCUUCUCCAGAGAGAGGCUUUUAAAGCUUCGCCACAGAGGACUUGAGAGGGAUUUUUAUUUUUUUUUUUCCUGUCUGAAAUGAAACACUGCAAAACCAGAACAGACGUGAACACACAAGAAAAGAAGCUCAUCACAGUGAGGAGCUGAAUACCAAGACAUCCACCACAGCAUUUUCAUAAAUGCAGCCGUUUAAGAGUCUAAACAGCUCCACUAAUCAACAGCGUCUGGAUCUGUGGUCGCUCUAUAUUUAGCUCCACAGUUCUCACAUCUCACGUCUCUGCUCAGCCCACCUACAAGAACUCCUGAUGCAUUUUCUGGAGAAGCUCAGGGAAGGAAAAGAAAAAAAAAAAAGUUUAAUAAUGGCAACUGCUUAUAUUAGUCUCCAUGGUAAUGACAGUGAACUUACAGCAUCAUACGGGCCUCGCACAGACACUGACAAAUCUUCUCUGAAGGCUGCAUGACGGCGCCGUCUCUCGACAUGCGAUCUGAAGUGGCAGCAGAGGAACCAGACGUGAUGAGUGAGAGAAGUUGCGGAGGAUUAACUGACUGACGCCUGAGAGUUUGGAUUCCCAAACUCAACAGUACUGGAACUAACUGCUUGUCUUUCGGCUGAUCUGCACAGCGCGUUGUGUGGAAAGGUGUCGUAAAUCAUCCGCACGUUGAUAACGGCGACACAGACAAGGUGUUUAUCACAGAUUUCCUCACAACAAACAAUCAAUAACAUCAAUAGACACACAGUUUAGUAAAAUUAACUUUCAUUAUUCCAAUAAAUAUGACAUGAACUCCUUUGUAAGCUCAAAUUUGAAUCUGUUAUUCAGACGCUUUCGUUAUUGAACAGUAAUCAGUGUCUUCAGACGACAUUAUUGAUUAGAAAAAUGCACCUCUACAUUUAUUUCUACCAGCUUCCUCCUGGUCUCUGCUGCCAUUGUUCUGUCAUUUCUGAGGGGCCCCUGAGGAUCAUGUGAUAUGACCAAAAGCUCCGGAACAUCUACUAAAUGGACCUUGUGGUCGAGCAGCAGGUCACGCAAAGGAGUCCGGACGUCCGUCUCCUCAGCAACGUUUUCCAGCUCCUCCUGGGGGGGGUUUCCGAGGCGUUCCCAGACCAGAUGAGAUAUAUAAUCUCUCCAGCGUGUUCUGGAUCCACGGCGAGGACUCCUACCGGUCGGACGUGCCUGGAAAGCCUCCAAUGGAUGGCGCUCAGUAGGUUUCCUAAACAGAUGCCAAAAACCUCCUCGGCUGGCUAGAUACUGACACGAAAAGGAGCCCAAAGAAAUGACAUGGCGCCAGUUCCCUGCGGGCCCACCAGCUGCGGGGACAGGCGCUGAGUGCGGGGUGCAAUGCAAGCCGCGUGUGCCAUUCCCCGACUUCAUAGACUAGGUCCAAGUACAGCAAUGAUUAUCUUGUCAAACGAGACAAAAAUUCUGGUUACUUUAAAUAACAAAGAGCACAGCACAUCCUCCAGUUUCAGUUCAGCAGUUUGGGGUUAAUUUAAAGUUGAAAACACACUUUGUCCAUUUUCAAGGCUCCGCUGUAACGAAGCUGCACAUUCUGACAUGGACGGUUAGUGAACAAGGUGAAGACGUCGUUUUUCAUUUCAUGGGGACUUUAACUGGAAGGAAGUUCUUACAUAAGCUGCAGUCACAUGGCCACAUUUUAAGGUUCAGGUUGGACUUAUUUCAUAUUUGGCAGCCUGUGUGGCGCGGCAGAUAGCUUAUUAAUUAAGUCAGACAGUCACAGUGGAUCAGUAAACAUGCGGCGAUGGAGGAUUCCUGUGCGUUUCCUCUCUGCCAGCUUUUCCUCUCUGCAGUGCUGCAGGCGUGAGAGUGAAAGAGCAGUGCAGGUGUCAAACCGCUCGUCUUUCUUCAGCACACAUCCUAAUCCCCGAGCAACCUCUCCAUCACUCCACUACAGAGAUCAUUUACAUAUCAAGGUUGCAGAUAUAGAGGAGUGGACGUGACUUACCAGUCCACGCUGAAAGCGAGGGGAAAGGGACCUAAUUGAACUUUGGCGUCUCGGAGACUCAUUUGCAUGAAUGUUUUUCACGCAGAGUGACACUGCACUGUCUUCAGCUGAGCUCCGGGGAAUUUCUUUGCUACUGAAUGAACUCACUGUUGUAACUAUCCAGAGCAGGGAGGAAGUGCAACAGCACAGAUUGAUGGAUGAUUGUCGGGCAGAUCCCAAUCAGGAGCACAAGUACAAUAUGCAGCGAGAUAAUAAGGCGGUGACGGUAUUUUGAUAAGAAACCUCAUUUAAAGCGUUCUGGAUGUCCUCAGCUGUGGCGAGGUCGGCCUUAUUGUUGUUACCGCUCUUUGUGUCGUCCUGUAUUCCUAAUGAUGAACACAUUUUAAAGCUGCUCACAAGCUAAUUUAUGGCGGUAGCAGAAGCACUCAAAAGCUUUUAAUACUAUAAAGGAUGAAACUGAAAUACCGGCCUUACCUUGACUUGAAGAUGAAGAUCAGCUGACUCAUGGGUAAUGUCUUCUGUGGCUGUGGAGGAGCUUUGUCAAGAGUCAGUUACAUUAACCCCUGAUUAUUACAAACUGUGGGUGUGGACCUCUAAAGACGAGGACAUUUACAUUUCAGGAACUGGACUCCCAAAAAGGUUCACCACUUAUUCCAAUGAGAGCUGCUCAGUGAGGACAAUGUGGACACAAGGUUUCCAUUACAUUGGAAAGAUAUCACACUAUGGCUCUGGAAAAGUUUAACAAAUAUUGAACCUUCAGUGGUUCAAAAUAAUAUAAUUCAAAAUGUUCUUUUGUA